GGAAAUGCAAAAUGCCAAAGGUGAUCCUGAUUUUGCAACUCAGGAAGGAAACCGGAGCCAUUACAGUAACAAGCCAGUAGACCUUAGCACAGCUUGCCUUUGCUGGGCAAGGAACUGCUGAGUAGAGGUGGGAUCCAAAAUACCAGUGAGCUUUCUUAUGGGCGUGGGGUGGGGCACUUAAUGUUUCAGUUCUUGCUAAACCCUGCAAAACUGCAUCUGACAUUGCUUGGGGUAGGACAGAGGCUAACACAGCUGCUGAGUAAGCAUCACUGCUAGGCUUUAAAAUAUCUGUAGACUAUGACAGAAUUGCUGAAGUAACAAGCUGCUGAGCUAGCAUAAUAAAUAGAAUGUAGCAAAAAUAAUGCAAUAACAUCGUGGUUAAGACAGCUGUAAAUGAAAGAAAAGGGAAGGGCUGUCUCUCAGCCAGUUUCAAAGGGCUGGCUCCCCAGUCCCUUGUAUUUGGACUGGAAUGAAUUCAGCAAAAUAGCAGAAAGACAGUCUGGACAGCUGCGAACACAAGUGGUAGCUGGUCACAGUGUUGUGAGAUAAAAGACAACUCAGAAAUUCAUCAAGGUCGGGUCAGCAGAAGAGGAUCAGCAUUGCAGGUGCCAGGGGCUGAGAACUGCCUCUUGUAAAGGAUCACGGUUAGAAAAGAAGAAUUAGAUCAGAGCAUCUCCUCAUCUUCCUCUCAGAGGAAAGUUCAGAUCUUGGAUUCAUAAGCCUUCUGGAGGCUCCACAUCCCUCCUGGAAGAAAUUAUCCAAAUUUAAUACUGUAACGGCUUGUUUGGCAUUCUUCAUGAAUGAGCAGGAGAUGGAAAGGAAGGAAGGAACCUUUCAGAAGUGGAUCUGCACUGAUCAGAUGCUCCUAUGACAACACUAAACUGAAUGAGUGAAUGAAAAGAGAGAAGGGAAAUAAAAGAUGACUUCUACAAACAAUAAAAAAAGGCACAUGACUACACCAAUUACAAUAACUGAGCUUUAGUCCUUCUCUGCCUUGGGAAAAUGAGAAAGAGAAAGAGAAAGAGGACAAAGAAAAAGAAAAAGAAAAAAGAAAAAGAAAAAGAAAAAGAAAAAGAAAAAGAAAAAGAAAAAGAAAAAGAAAAAGAAAAAGAAAAAGAAAAAGAAAAAGAAAAAGAAAAAGAAAAAGAAAAAGAAAAAGAAAAAGAAAAAGAAAAAGAAGAAGAAGAAGAAAAAGAAAAAUAAAAAUAAAAAGAAAAAGAAAAAAAGUAACCUGUCUUCCUGUAUUAGACAUCAGAGCUUUUGCAAAUGCAGUUUACACCUCACCUAUGGAUCCUUACUUAGCACUUUUCUGAUUUAGCCACAACUAAAUCUCACAAUUUCCUUGCAAUUUAAAGUAGAUCUGAUUAAAGAGUGCAAUAGAAAAUUUUAAUCAUCUUGCUGGGAAAAACUGAGAUAGCUGUUCUCUGAUUUUUAUUGGGUUUAUUCUAUCAUUUAAACUGGGAAAGCUUGAAGUAUAUGAGGAAGCUCCAAUGUUUUAGUUAUACUCAUUUGUAUGUGCUAACAUUUCUUUGUUGAUUUUGCUUUACGUUAUCGUUGACUAUAAGAAUCACAGACAUUAGUGAUCAAAGGCACAGAUUAGUUCAUCUGACCUUUUUUAUCCUAGCACUGGUUUUGUUUUGCCCAUAUCAUAUCUGAAUACUUUGUCCAGUCUAAUUUUACAUGACCCUUUUCCACUUCUUCUUAAGGUUUGCAGAGCUAUUUCUGUUGAUAUUCAUCCAGCAUUUUGCUGUACUCAGUUUAAUUGAAAUACUUCCACUUAAUACUCCCCCAGAUUAUGCUAAAAAUAUGUUUUUUUUCUGUUUCUCAGGCAAAUUUUUAACCACUGAAACACAUAGGCAGCUCUUUCUGAAGCCAACAGGAUAUGUGUCUUAAAGGAUGAAUCUGGCUCUUAAUAUUUACAGUAACAGUAAUUCCCCUACCCUCUUUAUCAUUCUUGAAGAAAUAGAGAUUAUAUGGGAAAUUUCAAAUAAAAUCAGAUAUGUCUCUUUGUGUGUCUAAUUCAGAUGUUAUAAUAAUCCUUUUCUCAGCACCUGUUUCCUAAAAGAAUACCCAUAACUUAAAAAAAAACAACAAAACACACCCAAAGCUUGAUGCCAAAUGUAUGGAGAGAGGAAAGAAGCACAGAAAGGCAUACAAAAGAAUCUGCAUAGUACUGCUUAGAGCUAAGGAAUAAGGAAUAUUGAAUGCAAUGGUUUAAGUAGAAUUUCUCUCAUCAAUGAAUCUGUGGCUUCUCAGCACCUGGUAACUGCUUCUAGCCACUCAAAAUAUAGCAUCUCAGAUAGUUGUUCUUUUUUUUUUUUAAGGAAACAAGACUUAUUCUUCUAUUCUAAAGUAUAACCCAUAAAAAAUAUCACCAACAAUUAAAAACCAACCAACCAACCAAAAUCAAACCUGAUCAUCUUAUAAAACUGCUCAUGCUGAGGAGAAAUGAACAGCAGACAUGAGCUUCUGAACCCUAGUAGAGUAGCUUCUGCAUCCAAGGAGAAAGCUGUAAGCAGUGUUCACAAGCUUUCUUCCUUUAGAAGUGCUCCAGUGUGUGUACAAUGUUGAAUUACUUGUGGACCAAUAUGAAAACAAAUCAAAACAAAACCAGAGGUUAGUUACCUUUCUGGUGGACUAUAAGAAUUAUUUCUGAUGUAUUUUCUACCUAGAUUUUUUUUUUUUUUUUUUUUUUUUGUGAAAACUGCUAUAUUCACAUAAUUCUAUGACUUCAGAAGCUGAAGCUACAGAAAAAAACAACCACUGCAAAUAGCCAUUAGAAACAACAAAAAAAUUAAAGUUGGCAGUACUCACAUGUAAUGUUUUUCAUCCAAGGACUUCAAAGGAUUUGACAAAAUUAAAUUAGAUCUCUCAAUACUCAUGAGGAUCAGAUAGUCUGUUCUUAUAUAAGGGAAAAGAGAGAUUCGGGAAUAUUAGAUAUUUCAGCCAAGUUCACAAAACAAACUAGACUUAGAGCUGAGAGAAGAAUUCAAUAGUUCUCUUAACAUUCUUCUCUGUCCAUUAUGUGCACUCCCACAUUUCUGAGAUUUAAAUUCAACAUCAACUCAAAAAUCCUUCAUACAGAUCUAAACUUUCACACAACCUUAUAUCUUUUUAUAAAAUCAUUAAAUCAUUUUAGUUGAAAGAGACCCUCAAGAUUCUCAAGUCCAACUGUUUUGGUACAUUCUCUCACUGUUCUCUUUUUAUCUCUGAUAUUCAGCAAUUGUAAUAAUUUCCUAUAAGUAAGAUUUGCAAUUAUAUAAUUCAACCUCUGUUUUUGUCGCAAAUUAAGUGGCUUUGCAAUCCUGAUCAAAAUCCUUGGGAAAAUACUUGUCCAUGUCUCCUGUUCUUUCAUACCUAAUAAAUACUUCAAAAUAA
Columba livia (rock pigeon) is the source of this 3378-nucleotide long non-coding RNA. RefSeq lists it as uncharacterized. The record is from RefSeq and is a predicted model, not a curated record. Lineage: Eukaryota; Metazoa; Chordata; Aves; Columbiformes; Columbidae. The transcript is spliced from 5 exons.